RNAcentral lists this ribosomal RNA (335 nucleotides) under uncultured bacterium. RNAcentral's name for it is "bacterial SSU rRNA". It matches the Rfam family "Bacterial small subunit ribosomal RNA", at positions 568 to 898 of the family's 1533-position model. The record is from RNAcentral.
CGUGUAGGCUGAUAUUUAAGUCAAUUGUGAAAUCCCUGGGCUUAACCUAGGAAUUGCAGUUGAUACUGAAUGUCUAGAGUAUGGUAGAGGAAAGUGGAAUUCUCGGUGUAGUGGUUAAAUACGUAGAUAUCGAGAAGAACACCGGUGGCGAAGGCGGCUUUCUGGACCAAUACUGACGCUGAGGCGCGAAAGCGUGGGGAGCAAACAGGAUUAGAUACCCUGGUAGUCCACGCUGUAAACGAUGAGAACUAGAUGUUGGGUAGCACUUUGUGCCGCGCAGUAUCGUGGCUAACGCGCUAAGUUCUCCGCCUGGGGAGUACGGUCGCAAGAUUAAA